Molecule: ribosomal RNA, 631 nt
Filed under: uncultured bacterium
Lineage: Bacteria
Description: bacterial SSU rRNA
Rfam family: Bacterial small subunit ribosomal RNA
Source: RNAcentral
AGAGUUUGAUCCUGGCUCAGAACGAACGCUGGCGGCGUGCUUAACACAUGCAAGUCGAACGCGAACGGUUUCUUCGGAAACCUAGUAGAGUGGCGCACGGGUGAGUAACGCGUAAGUUAUCUACCCUCCCAUCUGGAAUAACUCACCGAAAGGUGUGCUAAUACCGGAUACGUUGAUUUAUCAAGAAAGGUGGCCUCUAUUUAUAAGCUACCGUGGGGGGAUGAGCUUGCGUACCAUUAGCUAGUUGGUAGGGUAAUGGCCCACCAAGGCAACGAUGGUUAGCGGGUCUGAGAGGAUGAUCCGCCACACUGGAACUGGAACACGGACCAGACUCCUACGGGAGGCAGCAGUGAGGAAUAUUGCGCAAUGGGGGAAACCCUGACGCAGCGACGCCGCGUGGAUGAUGAAGGCCUUUGGGUCGUAAAAUCCUGUCAGAUGGAAGGAAAUGCUAUUGGUUUAAUAUGCCUUUAGUUUGACGGUACCAUCAAAGGAAGCACCGGCUAACUCCGUGCCAGCAGCCGCGGUAAUACGGAGGGUGCAAGCGUUGUUCGGAAUUACUGGGCCGUAAAGCGCGCGUAGGUGGCUUUUUAAGUCAGAUGUGAAAGUCCACGGCUCAACCGUGGGAAGUGCA